GACGAACGCUGGCGGCGUGCUUAACACAUGCAAGUCGAACGGAAAGGCCCUGCUUGCAGGGUACUCGAGUGGCGAACGGGUGAGUAACACGUGGGUGAUCUGCCCUGCACUUCGGGAUAAGCCUGGGAAACUGGGUCUAAUACCGGAUAGGAGCCAUUUUUAGUGUGAUGGUUGGAAAGUUUUUUCGGUGUAGGAUGAGCUCGCGGCCUAUCAGCUUGUUGGUGGGGUAAUGGCCUACCAAGGCGGCGACGGGUAGCCGGCCUGAGAGGGUGGACGGCCACAUUGGGACUGAGAUACGGCCCAGACUCCUACGGGAGGCAGCAGUGGGGAAUAUUGCACAAUGGGCGCAAGCCUGAUGAAGAGACGCCGCGUGGGGGAUGACGGCCUUCGGGUUGUAAACUCCUUUCGCUAGGGACGAAGCUUUUUGUGACGGUACCUAGAUAAGAAGCACCGGCUAACUACGUG
This 465-nucleotide ribosomal RNA is filed under the name uncultured bacterium. RNAcentral describes it as "partial 16S ribosomal RNA". It matches the Rfam family "Bacterial small subunit ribosomal RNA", at positions 28 to 507 of the family's 1533-position model. The record is from RNAcentral.